UGCCUGUGAUGUUCAAUCAUUUGUCCGUACCAUCUGAGGUUUCUUUCUCUGAUGAUUCUCUCAAAGUAUUGAUUCUGAGGCAU
Molecule: small nucleolar RNA, 83 nt
Organism: Hibiscus syriacus
Lineage: Eukaryota; Viridiplantae; Streptophyta; Magnoliopsida; Malvales; Malvaceae
Product: small nucleolar RNA snoR117
Exons: 1
Source: RefSeq, a predicted model, not a curated record